This 246-nucleotide ribosomal RNA is filed under the name uncultured Gardnerella sp. RNAcentral describes it as "partial 16S ribosomal RNA". It matches the Rfam family "Bacterial small subunit ribosomal RNA", at positions 109 to 355 of the family's 1533-position model. Lineage: Bacteria; Bacillati; Actinomycetota; Actinomycetes; Bifidobacteriales; Bifidobacteriaceae. The record is from RNAcentral.
AGUAAUGCGUGACCAACCUGCCCCAUGCUCCAGAAUAGCUCUUGGAAACGGGUGGUAAUGCUGGAUGCUCCAACUUGACGCAUGUCUUGUUGGGAAAGUGUUUAGUGGCAUGGGAUGGGGUCGCGUCCUAUCAGCUUGUAGGCGGGGUAAUGGCCCACCUAGGCUUCGACGGGUAGCCGGCCUGAGAGGGCGGACGGCCACAUUGGGACUGAGAUACGGCCCAGACUCCUACGAGAGGCAGCAGCA